Molecule: RNA transcript, 3000 nt
Organism: Manihot esculenta (cassava)
Lineage: Eukaryota; Viridiplantae; Streptophyta; Magnoliopsida; Malpighiales; Euphorbiaceae
Gene name: probable NOT transcription complex subunit VIP2
Exons: 15
Source: RefSeq, a predicted model, not a curated record
AUCAAAUCAUAUCAUCCCUCAAAAAGCCCAUUAUUUCUCUGUGACUCUGUUUCUCUCUCUUGUUCGCUUCUUUCAACUUAGGGCAAACUCUUAACUCGCUUCUUUUGACUCACAAGCCUGAAAGAUCUCUAUAUGCAUCGCUGAUCUGCCCCUCAGGCUGUAGAUUCAAUAUUUAUUGGGAAAAGCUUUUUGUUCAAUUUCUAUACCUUAAUCAAGACAAGGACAGCUACUCCCCAGCAAGGAAUGAUUUUUGGCAUGAACUUUUGACAUUUUUGCAAUGUCGGGGUUACUUAAUUCUUCGCUAAACAGUUCAGCUUCAAAUCUGCCUGACAGCACUGGACGAUCUUUUACUACUUCUUUCUCUGGCCAUUCUGGUGCAGCAUCUCCUGUUUUUCAUCAUACUGGAACUAUUCAAGGGCUGCAUAACAUCCAUGGGAGCUUUAAUGUCCCCAACAUGCCAAGUACACUUGCAUCAAGAAAUUCCACCAUAAGUAAUGUUCCUUCAGGUGGAGUUCAACAACCUACUGGGAGCCUCUCUAGUGGUCGCUUUGCGUCCAAUAAUCUUCCUGUUGCACUCUCUCAGUUAUCUCAUGGCAGCUCUCAUGGACAUUCAGGAGUCACAAAUAGAGGAGGUAUAAGUGUUGUAGGAAACCCUGGAUUUAAUAGUAACACAAAUGGAGUUGGCAGCUCUAUUCCUGGGAUUCUUCCGACCUCUGCCGGAAUUGGAAACAGGAAUGCUGUGCCAGGAUUGGGAGUAUCCCCAAUUUUGGGAAAUGCAGGUCCUCGGAUUACAAGUUCUAUGGGGAACAUGGUUGGCGGGGGAAACAUUGGGAGGAGCAUAAGCUCGGGUGGAGGAUUAUCUAUGCCUGGUCUUGCAUCUCGGCUAAAUCUAACUGCUAAUAGUGGAUCUGGAAGUUUAAGCGUGCAAGGACAAAACAGAUUAAUGGGUGGUGUGCUUCCACAAGGAUCUCCACAGGUAAUUUCCAUGUUAGGAAAUUCCUAUCCGACUGCUGGUGGCCCUCUUUCACAAAAUCAUGUCCAAGCAGUGAACAAUCUUAGCUCAAUGGGAAUGUUGAAUGAUGUGAACUCCAAUGACAACUCCCCUUUUGACAUAAAUAACGACUUCCCUCAGUUGACAAGCCGUCCUAGUUCUGCUGGAGGGCCUCAAGGGCAAUUGGGUUCAUUACGAAAACAAGGUCUUGGCGUUAGCCCAAUUGUCCAACAAAACCAAGAGUUUAGCAUCCAGAAUGAAGAUUUUCCAGCUUUACCUGGAUAUAAAGGUGGUAAUGCUGAAUUCACUAUGGAUUUGCACCAGAAAGAACAACUGCAUGACAAUACCAUGUCAAUGAUACAAUCUCAGCACUUCCCUAUGGGUAGGUCUGCUGGAUUCAACUUGGGGGGAACUUAUUCGUCUUAUCGUCCACAGCAGCAGCAACAACAUGCUCCAGCUGUCAGUAGUAGUGGUGUCUCCUUUUCAUCUGUAAACAAUCAAGAUCUUCUUCAUGGUUCAGAUAUAUUUCCAUCUUCACAUUCAACCUAUCACUCACAGACCAAUGGACCACCUGGGAUUGGAUUGAGACCUCUGAAUUCACCGAAUACAGUUUCUGGUAUUGGAUCAUAUGAUCAGCUCAUCCAGCAGUAUCAGCAACACCAGAACCAGUCCCAGUUUCGGUUACAACAAAUGUCAGCUGUCAGUCAACCCUUUAGGGAUCAGGGCAUGAAAUCCAUGCAAGCUGCACAAUCAGCUCCAGACCCAUUUGGGCUACUUGGCUUGUUAAGUGUUAUAAGAAUGAGCGACCCUGAUCUGACCUCCCUAGCACUUGGAAUUGAUUUAACAACUCUAGGACUAAAUUUGAAUUCCACAGAAAAUCUUCACAAGACAUUUGGCUCUCCAUGGUCUGAUGAGCCAGCGAAGGGCGACCCGGAGUUUAGUGUGCCACUAUGCUAUUAUUCUAAACAACCUCCUCCUCUACAUCAUGGAUACUUCUCAAAAUUCACGGUGGAAACACUGUUUUAUAUAUUUUACAGCAUGCCAAAGGAUGAAGCUCAAUUAUAUGCUGCAAAUGAACUUUAUAACAGAGGCUGGUUUUAUCACAAAGAGCACCGAUUGUGGUUCAUAAGAGUCCCCAACGUAGAGCCACUUGUGAAGACAAAUACUUAUGAAAGAGGAUCUUACCACUGUUUUGAUCCAAAUACAUUUGAAAUAAUCCGCAAGGAUAAUUUUGUUGUUCAUUAUGAAGUGUUGGAAAAGAGACCAUCUCUACCUCAACAUUAACAAGUUUUUGUUUACAUUGUAAAGUUUCUUUUAUGUACUCAUUCAUUAGAAUGUCGAGAUCAGUGGUGAUUGGUCCUCUUUUUAAAGUUUAUCUGGAGUAAAAUCAUAGAUUAAUAGAAAUCUAAAUUGGGUUUCUUAUGUUGGAUUGAACAUCGGUUUCAUACAGCAUUUGAUUCCCCCCAAUCUGGCCCGAGAGAACCACAAAUUUUCAGGAGUUUUUUGAUAUGCUGAUCCAUGAAAAUAUUUCGUCUCUCUUUGCAACAGAAGCACGGAGAGCGGCCGUCGAAAGAUCUCCAUCACAGAGCAUUUGCACAUCUUGCAUCUUCCAAGUUACUUCUCUUAUUAGACUUGCUAAUUAUGGAACUAAGAGGUUUAGAUUGUUAUUUUAGCUGCACUGGGGUUUCUCUUUUCCAGUUUUAAUAUUUUAUUUUACUUUUCUUUUUGUUAAUAGAAUUGUAAAAUAAAAUAAAAAUGAUUUUGAAAGAAUAUGUCAGCAUAUGAUAAAAAAACGCAGGAUCGAAGAACUUGACGUUAAAUGAAUGACCCGUGAAGAAAACCAUUGUCCUGUCAUCAAGAAGCUUGGUUACUGCGAAACCCAUCUUCUGUUCUUUUGGGGCUUGCAAACGCUUUGCUUCCUUCAUUCCCAAACCCUAGUCUGAACUAUGAGUGAAUAAUUCCAUUUGUUUGUACUUUUAGUCAUGUUUUUAUUCCUUUCUAAGCCAAGU